This 372-nucleotide ribosomal RNA is filed under the name Leptodactylus longirostris (longnose frog). RNAcentral's name for it is "partial 12S ribosomal RNA". The record is from RNAcentral. Lineage: Eukaryota; Metazoa; Chordata; Amphibia; Anura; Leptodactylidae.
AAGGUCAAUUCUUACUUAGUUUACACAUGCAAGUCUCCGCACCCCUGUGAGAACGCCCUUAAACCCCUUUAAGGGGCAAGGAGCUGGUAUCAGGCACAAAAUUUAGCCCAAGACACCUAGCUAUGCCACACCCACAAGGGAAAUCAGCAGUGAUUAACAUUGAGCAUGAGCGACAGCUCGACUCAGCUAAAGUAAAAAGAGCCGGCUAAUCUGGUGCCAGCCGCCGCGGUUACACCACGUGGCUCAACUGACCCUUUUCGGCGUAAAGCGUGAUUAAAGGGAUUUUUUUUGGUGUUAAAAAAGUACUAAGCUGUGACACGCUUGUCCUUGAGAAAAUCAAAAACGAAAGUUACACCAAUCCAGCCGACUUGA